RNAcentral lists this ribosomal RNA (333 nucleotides) under Triticum aestivum (bread wheat). Its description in RNAcentral is "partial small subunit ribosomal RNA". The record is from RNAcentral. Lineage: Eukaryota; Viridiplantae; Streptophyta; Magnoliopsida; Poales; Poaceae.
AUGCCGCCUUCCUUUCAAGAGAUCGUCGACGUCGGCACAACCGACAGGGUGCCCUGGGCGUGUGAUGCUGGGACUGUUAAAGUAGCUUCUAUGCUAGUUUGCAAUUGUGCACUUGCUGUUCAAGGGUACCGAGGAAGAGGGGGACUAGAUGAUGGGGAGGGUAGCUGCCUGCAGCCUGAUGCAUCACAUUUGGAAGGAAGCAACCCGGCGGACAAGGAGAUGCCAUCAUCAUAUAUACGCCUUGGUCGAGCUAUCUUUGCCAGUCUAAGUCUCAAUCUGGUUUGGCUGGAUCAACUUGGACGCCCAAGUGGAGGACGGGGGAGACCACAUUGA